RNAcentral lists this long non-coding RNA (970 nucleotides) under Mus musculus (house mouse). RNAcentral describes it as "long non-coding RNA chr9:54874998-54875968". Lineage: Eukaryota; Metazoa; Chordata; Mammalia; Rodentia; Muridae. The record is from RNAcentral.
UCCAGCCCUGAAACCUGAGUCUUUAAAAUGGGCAGUAAGCAUAUCUACUCUUUGCUCUAAAGCAGUGGUUCUCAAUUUUCCUAAUGUCAUAACCCUUUAAUACAGCUUCUCAUGUUGUGGUGACCCGACCAUAAAAUUAUUUUAGCUACUUCAUAACUAUAAUUUUGUUACUAUUAUGAAUUGUAAGUAUUUUUAGAGAUAGAGGUUUGCUAAAGGGCUCAUGACCUACAGGUUGAGAACCACUGCUAUAAAGGGUCUUUCAAGGCCAGUCUCUUAAGCCAUCUUCAGGAGCAUAGCUUGAAACAAAGAAAACUAGUGCCUUUUGGCAAAUCAUUUAGAAGGCAUAGAAAAUUGUCUUUAAAUGACAUGGUAGGGAGAAAAUUGCAGAGAGCUAAGCUGUUGUGUGUCUGAAGAAAUAGAGUUGUUUCCAGGAGGAAAUUGUUAACCUUGUUGACUUGCUGAGAGGCUAUUAGAACUCUUAACUAGGUAUGAUGUCAAAAACGAAAAUGAGUUUUAGGGAAAAUACAGAGAUAUAGGAACUGCAUUCAUUACUUGUGGGAAUAUAAAAGAAUACCACCAGUUGGAAGCUAGUGGACUGUUUCUUAAAAAGCUAGGGGUUUGGGAAUGUAGCUCAGUGGUAGCAUGUUUGCUUAGCACAUAUAAGUGCCAGGUUUCAUCCCUCCUUAGCACUAGUAAAUGAAUGAACAAAUGGUUAAGCAUAAACUUAUCAUAUGAUCUAACUAUUGUAUAUACACGGUAUUCUUUUUAAAAAGCAUUUAUGUUUUUAAUCUUAUUUUAGGUAUUUUGCCUACAUGUAUGUCUAUGCCUGGUGCCUGUGAAGGCCAGAGAAGGGUGUUGGAUCCCCUGGAGUUGGAGUCACAAAUGGUCAUGAGUUACAGACUGGGUGCUAGGAGUUGAACUCAGUACUCUUAACUGCCAAACCCUGUACAUAGUAUUCUUAUCUCUACCC